AGAGGGACACACCUGUACCCAUGCCGAACACAGAAGUUAAGCCUCUUAACGCCGAUGGUACUUGGUUGGUAACGACCUGGGAGAGUAGGAAAUUGCCGGUC
This 101-nucleotide ribosomal RNA is filed under the name Peptoniphilaceae bacterium. The record is from RNAcentral. Lineage: Bacteria; Bacillati; Bacillota; Tissierellia; Tissierellales; Peptoniphilaceae.